RNAcentral lists this long non-coding RNA (1667 nucleotides) under Homo sapiens (human). Its description in RNAcentral is "long intergenic non-protein coding RNA 2290". The record is from RNAcentral. Lineage: Eukaryota; Metazoa; Chordata; Mammalia; Primates; Hominidae.
AUGAUUUGCAAGACUCUGGUCACAUGCCCACACCUGUGGCUUCUGAAGCAGAGCACCAGCAGUGACAGUCCCACCAGAACCGCAUGGAAUAGAAAACUGUGCAUUUCCCUAAGGAAAGGGAAUGCCAGAGAAGGGCAGAAGGGAAAUCAGGAAGACAAAACGUGUCUUCAUGUUGGAGUGGACCUUUCCUCUAUCUGUCAACAGAAUGGAUAAAUUGUGGAAGAGUAAUAUCAGAAUACUACACAUCAGUAAAAAACAACAAACUUCUGCUACAAACAAUCAACAUCGAUGAAUCUUUCAGGCAAAAGGGCAAAGAAAAGUAUUGGUCUUCCAAAACAAAUAGAGGACGGAGCUGCUGCUGUUGCAUGGUGUCUAGAAACUCAGACAACUUCAUCAUUCCAUAUUUGCAUCCAAGAGAGAGAAAGAAAAACUACAAUCAUUUUCCAUUUACCCAUCAACCCAUCAACCUCCAAAGACAGGGUCUCACUAUGUUGCCCCAGUUGGCCUUGAACUGCUGGACUCAAGGGAUCCUCCUGCCUCAGCAUCCUGAGUAGCUGGGUCUACAGGCAUGAACCACCAGGCCCAGAACCCUGUCUUUUGAAAGCCAUAUGCGAUCUGUCUGCCCUGAAGUGACUACUUCAUCUCCAACCAGCCCUUGGCUGGCAAAGUCAGGAAGACUCCAGUCUUUCCUGAAGACCAGGGGAGAGUUUAUAACUCUAGCAUCAAAGUCAGCAGCUGUUCAUCUAGAAGACAACUUCCCAAAAGUCAAUGUCUUUGCCUGAAGCUUUUCUUCCCAGAUCUCCUAUGGUGAAACAACCAAAGGGAAGAAGAAUGUGGGCAGCCCUCAGUAAGACAGGAGAUGAGCAUCAACAUUGACCCAUUCUUUCUUCCAGUCCUCGAUGCUUACCUUGUACAUUCUUCUUUGUCUUCCGACUCAGUGCCUUUAGGGUAUGGACGUUGCCUGGUCCCACACAAGCCAAGCAUCAAAUGGAUGGCUCAACAAGGAGGCCAAGACCAGCUAAUGUUUAGUGAGCACCCAAAGGGGCCACACUGGAGAGAACAGCACAGCUCCGUCUGAGAAACAGCUGUUCCUUCCUGCCUGAGAGGCAGAGUGAUAGAAGAUAUCACAGAAUGUUGCUGCUUUGUCUUCCACCCUGAACCCUCCACGACCUCCCUGUAGCUUCCUGAUUUUAAGUAGACAUCAAAUGAUUCUUAAUCCUUUCUGGGUCUUGGAACGAUUUGAAAAUUGUCAACAGUACUGGGAUUCCCAGAAUAAUGCACAUAUGUACAUACUCAGAUAUUCCCCAAGCCCUGGAUAUAAUUUUAAGGGAGUUCACAGACCACACUCCCCCACCCAUCUGUGGACCCAGAUUCUGUGGGUUCGAGAUUCAGAAGCCCUGUUUCUAGGCAGGCCCUCUGUUGCUAACGCCCCUCGAGAACAUCACCCUAGAUGAUUAUCCCUUCUUCCUCCACUCCUUCCCACCUUCUCCAACUGCUGGGUUUCAGCACAAAGAUUGCUUGCCAGUUAAACUGGCACCAUGGACCGCACAGUAGUUGUUUCUUGGGUCUAGAGGAAACAGCCAGAUUCCUUUAAGUAAAUCAUGUCUUAGUUAUUGAUUGUCUCCACUUGAAGUUUUUGACAAUCUCUGAUUAAAUCAUAAACCACU